AUGUGCUGGACAAAAUGUCUUCCCUCUCAUGAUGAUGAUGAAUUGGACGUACAGUACACAUCCACACACCAAAGUGCACGUCAUCGCUUCUCAAACACUAACUUCGAUUGUUCUCUCAUUUCAAAAUGUGUCAUCAUAUCAAAGCAUAUUUCGCUCAUUCACGUGGGCGGCGUCAGAUUUUGUCAUAGCACCUGCGCGUGUGCGCGUCCGCGUCGGCAUGCAAGUCAAUUUGUGCAUCUUUAGCGGAACUCCCUCCCCGUCAACUUUUAACCCAAGAGCCUUUUGAUUAUAAUCAUUAUGAAAAGUUAUUAUGAAUCACCCGCGAGGCGAAAAUAUUUUUUUUGCGUUUGUGCACCCUUAUGUCAUUGUCAGUAAAAGAGAUGCGCAAACAAUGAAAAGCGGCUCGGUAGAAAUAAUAAGUACAACUAUUAUGAUAUCAAUAAUGGUUAAAAAAAAUUUUGAAUAAUUCAGAGCUUAACGUUGGUUAUUUAUGUAUUGUUGAGGAAGUGUAAAUAAAGAAAUUAGACUCAACUUGGUUGCCAUUACAUCGGGGGGCUUAUUGUUGUUUGUUUCAUUCAAAAACAAAAAUGGUGGCAAAGAGAGGCAAUAUGUGACGGUAACCGUAGAGCCGGUCGGAAGUGGAACUCGGUGAUCCAUUUCUCUCCGUUUGAGCUCCUCCGCACAAAAGGAUCGAGAACAGUCUACUUGGGUACACAGAAUGCUGGAGUGCUUUCAAUAAAACGGUCACGUUCAUGUUAGAACGCGAUGAAUUGUAAGAUGUAUUUGUUACAUAUUUGGAUGCAUUUUUAAGCUUUAGGAAACAUUGAUGUCUGGAUUUUGGGGGGGUUGGAACGGAUUAGGGCAUUUACAUGGAAAAUGUGUCUCUCCUUACAAAAUUUUCCAGUUAAGAAAUUUCUUCCAGAACCAAUUAAUUUCGUAAGUGGAAGUACCACUGUACUCAGUUUCCCGUUCUCGCGACACAACUCGUCACAUUAAUAACGUAAAAUCGGCGAUGUCUUAUCACGUUGUAAAUUUCACGUUGCAAUGUGGGAAGUUCUGUAUCACGUUAAAAUGUGAUGGAGUUCACGUUUUUCAUUUUACUUGUAAGUUAUCACGUUCUAACCUGAUCAUUUGCACUCGUGCAUUCAGCAAAACAAAAAGAAGCCAUUUUUUUACGGUAAAAAAAACAACAAAAAAAGUUUUUUAGAUUUAUCAGUGUGUGUCAAAUCAAGGCAAAUGUUGACCGAUCGAAAAAAAAAUGGUGGGAAUCUCAAACGUGUGAAACUCGACAUGCCACAAAUGCGUGCGUGUUUUAUGGGACAAUGGGAACAGUGUUCAAGGAGCUUGAAAGACUUGUGAGUAAUCUCUGCCGAACAUUGACCCGUUGUUCUUUGAAGAGUCGUGUGGGAAUUUCAAAACGGUGAAAGCGUAAAACAGUGUCGGAUUGAUCUUGCACACGAAACACAAAGGCCCGCUAACGCAAUUGGACCAUCGGGAAAAAGCGACUGGAAAGCACAAACUAUAUGUGUACUUUUACAAAAUGGAUGUUU
Hippocampus comes (tiger tail seahorse) is the source of this 1550-nucleotide long non-coding RNA. RefSeq lists it as uncharacterized. Lineage: Eukaryota; Metazoa; Chordata; Actinopteri; Syngnathiformes; Syngnathidae. The transcript is spliced from 2 exons. The record is from RefSeq and is a predicted model, not a curated record.